This 482-nucleotide ribosomal RNA is filed under the name uncultured bacterium. RNAcentral's name for it is "partial 16S ribosomal RNA". It matches the Rfam family "Bacterial small subunit ribosomal RNA", at positions 30 to 505 of the family's 1533-position model. The record is from RNAcentral.
AUUGAACGCUGGCGGCAGGCCUAACGCAUGCAAGUCGAGCGGAUGAAGGGAGCUUGCUCCUGGAUUCAGCGGCGGACGGGUGAGUAAUGCCUAGGAAUCUGCCUGGUAGUGGGGGAUAACGUCCGGAAACGGGCGCUAAUACCGCAUACGUCCUGAGGGAGAAAGUGGGGGAUCUUCGGACCUCACGCUAUCAGAUGAGCCUAGGUCGGAUUGGCUAGUUGGUGGGGUAAAGGCCUACCAAGGCGACGAUCCGUAACUGGUCUGAGAGGAUGAUCAGUCAAACUGGAACUGAGACACGGUCCAGACUCCUACGGGAGGCAGCAGUGGGGAAUAUUGGACAAUGGGCGAAAGCCUGAUCCAGCCAUGCCGCGUGUGUGAAGAAGGUCUUCGGAUUGUAAAGCACUUUAAGUUGGGAGGAAGGGCAGUAAGUUAAUACCUUGCUGUUUUGACGUUACCAACAGAAUAAGCACCGGCUAACUUCG